This 36784-nucleotide long non-coding RNA is filed under the name Coffea arabica (coffee). RNAcentral describes it as "long non-coding RNA (CARA_LNC007029)". The record is from RNAcentral. Lineage: Eukaryota; Viridiplantae; Streptophyta; Magnoliopsida; Gentianales; Rubiaceae.
UUUUUUUUUUUUUUUGGUCCUUAACCAGUCGAUUAAAACGGGCGUAAAACUCAAUUCUUGAGAUGUUGAUUAUUCUUUCAUUUCUUUGACAAUUUGGGAGGAGGUAUAGUAUUAGGAUAAAUUCGAAGUCCUUGAGUCCUAACAUCUUACGCUUUAAAAGCAAUGAUUCAUGUCAAAUGUUGUGACUAACUAUGAACACAAUCCAUUUAGGAAAUUUUGUUUGAAUUUGUUGAAACAAAACAAACAAGAUGUAAGCAUGUUUGGUCGCAAAAUAAGCAUGUAUGGUCACAAUUCAUUUUAAAAUUUUUAUUUUAUUUUUAAUUUUUGGGUCAGAGAAGAUAUAUAAUGCAAUGUUGUACUAUUAGGACUAAAUAGCCGAUGAGCAAGUAAUUUAGACUUAAAUACAUGAUGGGAUAAGCUUUUAUUAGGCAAGAACAAAGUAAAUAACAUAUAAUUCCAUGUCUCUUUGUAGCAACGUGCAAAAAGAUGAUGACCCCUAAACAAUAAUUACAAAAGCUCCAACUUCAUGACAUCAAACUAGUUCCCAAUUUAAAUAAAUGUGAUUUUCAUGUCAUUGAUCGAUGAUGUGAAGUAGUGUCAAACUUCUUCUUCUUCUUCUUCUUCUUCUUUUUUUUAAAAUUUGUUUGUGGGUUUGUUUAAUGAGAGUCUAGCUUUUUAGAAAAUUAAAACAAUGAUUGUAUCUUUCUUAAUUUAUCAAUUUUUUGGCAUUUUAAAAUAUUACUAGCAAAGCUAGCAAUAAUCUAAAUUGAUGGCUAAAGCCUACUCGGACGACAUAAUUUUGUGGUGGUUUUGAUUGCUGAGCGUUCUAAAUUUGUCUCUUCCGUACUUGGGCAGAGAGAUAGGUUUAUCCAAAUCAAAUUUAUGGGAAGCUGGGCUUAUUGAAAAUUCACAUGCUUACACAUUACUUGACUGUGUUAUAUAUCGUUCCUAAAUUCAUAGAGAAAUUGCAUUUCGGUCUCUAGGCUGUUUUGCAGUUAAUCUAUUUUGGUUAUAGGCGUGGAGACGAUUUAAUUUGACAGGAAUCUUAGUCAUUGAUGGCUUAUAUAGUUCAAUGAUUUCCUGAUUAAUCAGAUACAGAGAUGAAUUUGAAAAUCAGGAACUGAUUAAUCCUAUGGGUUCACUUUGCAAUUCUUACUUUGAUUUACCAUUUAUCCUGCAAACUUGUUGAUAACGACUGCUAUGCAACUGUAGUUUGGCCAAGUUGCUUGAAGUGAUAGGAUCUUCUUAAAGCAGGUAACUUAGGUUUAAUCCGGCUCCCUUGGUAUCAAGGAGAAAAUUGGUUGUGUUGGUAGGUUGUUGCAGUACAAACUUGGGACACCUUCAGCAUUUGUAGGAGAAACUUGAAACUUCUCAUUCAGGGACAAUUUCUGAAAACUUCAGCAUUUGUAGUUAUUGUAUUCCAAUUGAGUUGGCAAACCUCCAUUUGUCCUCGAACAAAUUCCAUCAGUAAAGUUCUACUACUGGUAAAUUGAGACACCUGAUAGUUAGUCUUCUUAAUAUGCUUCCACAAAAUCCAUAAUCUUGUCAGUCUUGGCCCCUAAUGAUUGGUUGAAGGCUUAAUUUAUAAUUAGUUUGAUAAACCUUUCUUAGUGCAUGGUAGGCUGCGUAGGACAGCUCGCAGUGUUUAGACAACCUGAUGUGACCCAAAUUGUUGAUUGAUUCUGCACUUUCUUAAUACAAAAUCAGUCUUCGCUUCCAAGAUAAGAUGUUGCGAAUCUCGUUUGAUUAAUUCAGGAGGAGUCUGUUAAGUUUUGUAUCAACUGCAAUUAAUCUUUUCUUAAACUAAUGCAAGUCCAAAAGGACUUUGGAAUCGAAUAACAUGACAUGAAGAUGCAAAUCGUAGGGCGCUAGGGGUAGGAUAAAUUCCAGGCUUCCAGCGUCAAUAAAGUGCAAUGAUGCAAAGACUUGGCAUAGUUUACAAGCAUACGCACGGUAACAAGCAUGGAUGGUUGCAUACUGAAAAAUUAGGUGAUGCAAAUCAAAGACACCAGAGCCAAUUUAAUACUCAGAACCUACAAGCUGAUACAAGUCAAUCUUUAUGCUAAUACCUGCAGCUUAAACCUGCAUGAUUCUUUAUAUUAACUUCUCUGAAUUAUUGAGAGGGAUGGGAUUCUAUAAACCAUUAGUCCUGCACGAAUGACAAGCGCUAGAAGCUGGUUGAUUUGAAAUGACAUUAUUGUGGGUAAAGUAGUCCUAAUAUGAAGGCGUCAUAGGUAGUUGAUGUGAUAACUUUACUACUUCAAACAAGACAUAUGACCAAUAGGUCUCGAAUUCGAGUCUCUGCUCUGCUGGGUUCUUCCGCGCACUUGACGUGCUUGGGUCGGGUUGGGGCCAGGCCGCAGGGAUUAGUCGAGCCCCAUAAAAAUUGACCCGAACACUCCUGUGUCGACAAAAAAAAAUCAAACAAAGACAUAUAUUAUAGGGUGGGGGAGACAAAUCUACUUUGGGUUCCCCCAGUUUCCUGUUAAAAGAGUACUGGACUUCAGGAUGGCUUCAUGUUAGUCAAUCUAAUUAACAGAAAGCCAUCAACUCAUGAGAAGAUUGGCACUUUUCAAAAUGCUCAUCUUUCCUUUUAUGAUUUACAUCGAACUUUGCAGUAUAUGCUUACACUUGUAAUUCAGUAAUUAGAUUCGCUUCUUUGUUUGUAGAAAUGACAAUCCCUUCUUUCGCUUUUCUUCUCUUUGUCGUUUGCGUCAAGUCAUUGCAGUGGGCAUCCGGUCCAUUUCAAGAAGUCUGGUCGAUCAGCUGCGUUUAAUCACUUACUGUGGAGCUACACAUGAAUUAUAUACACAUAUGAAUGUAUGUAUAUUCCCGUUGAAGACAUUUAAAUCACACUUCUUAAGUUCCAAUCUUUACAAAAAUCUGAUCAACUUUAAAAUUCUAUCAAUUCAAGGGUUUAGUUCCUCGGAAGAAACUGUUUGCAUAUGUUACCCUUGCUUUAAAUGAAAUGGCGACCGUGCGUAUGUGUUUGGAUUGAAGAUUAUUUCACUUUAUUUACACCUUAUUUGCACAUACUAAUUUGAUUGCAUCAUUAACACAUUUUUCAAUCACCUUUUUAUCUCACAUACAUCAUAUCAAAACUAUUGUUACAGUAAAAAUAUUUCAAAUAAUUUAUAAUCCAAACACGCCAUCGAAUGAGACUUGUCAAAAUGACGAACUUUCUCCUCUGAACAUCAAUUAAAUGUAAUUUACGUAAAAGGGCUAAUUACCGGCACGCUCGAUUUGUGAUUCUUCUUAUUCUUCUCUCUCUUUUUCAAAAUCUCUCCAAAUUAUUUCAGAAGAUAUCUUUUUUCUUAACUUUUCUCAUUAAAAUUAUUUUUCUCUUCUUCUCUUUUCUUUCCUUUUCUGAAGUCCAAGAUUAGGCUUCUAGGCCAUAGAAGUUUUCUAAUGCAUGACCUGUGACUAUUCAGUAUUUUCAAAUUAAUUGUCAGCCGGCGGCAAGUGAGAGACUUGGUUAAUUUGUAGGUCCACCGAAGGGUUGGCUGAUUUAGAUCUAGAAGUUUGAACUGGUGGUUGGCUUUCCACAGCGUUCAUGGUUAAAUAAAUAUUGGGGGACGUAAGCAACAAUUAAAAUUACCGUGGAAUUUGAUCAAGCAACCCCUCCCUUACACACUAACUUUUAUUAAUAAUCAAAGCGAGCAGUUUUCACUAGUAGUUCAAGAUACAUCCUGAAUGGAAAACCCAAAAGGUUUAGGUGAUUAAUUAGUCUAUUAGUUCACUUAUAAUCGAAAUAAUGAGAGAUAAAUGCUACUCCCUCUGUCUCAUUUUGAUAGUUCAAGCUUUUUUUUCACACAGUUUAAGAAAAAGUAAUUAACUUUGUUGGAAAAAUAAAUUUAGAUUGCUAUUUUUCUAAAAUACCUUUACACUAAAUAGAGUACAACUUUAUAUUAAUUAUUCAUGGAAACUUGAAUGGAUGGUUUUUGAGAAUUUGAAUUGAUGAUCAAGAAAGAAUCAAUGCUUAUCUUACAUUAAAUGGGGUAGGUUAUAUUCAAUAACAAUCUAUAUUAAAUAAGAUAGUUUAUACUAAUAACAACCUAUAUUGAAUAAGAGUAUUUUAGAAAAAUUAAAAGAUAACUACAUUUUUCAAUUGGAAAGUGGAGCAAUAUGUAAGCUAUCCUCUGUGAUUGCACCUCAACUUCGCAAAUCUAAUUUGAGUUUUUGGAAAAAAAAUUUGAAUUAUCAAUGAUUGAAGUGGUCUAGUGUCACAAUCAGACAGCUGCUAAUUAGCCCUCAAACAAGUUGAGUUUUGUUAAAGUACCAAAUGAGUACAAAAUACUAGUGGAUUAUAGGGAUCAUACUACUAAAAUGGAUGAGGAUGAGGUGUGGAAUAGACUUCAACGUGCAACUAGUGGAAUUUGUAUAAUCAAUGGCAAGAGCUGACUUAUCCCAAAAGAAUCAAAAUAUGAAUCUUAGGGAGCAUCAUGAAUCAAGGAUGCAACUGCAGGAGCAUUCUAGUCCACGGCCGGUGAACAAUCCAUUGAAAAGGAAAGUUCAAUUUGCACUUUAUGAGCUAGCACUGCUGGUCAAAGCAGCCAAUAUGGCUGGCUGGCAUUGACAGCUGAAUUAAAGACCAAAAUUAGGAUACUUGCCAGAUUCAUCUUGCAUGCCAUGAUCGGAUUAGUAAGAGAAAAUCAACUUGUCCAAGAAUACCAAGUCUAAAUUAUUGAGUUCAAGAAACCAAGGCUUUGUUGGUUCCUAUGUUAUUGCGUGUGACUAUUAUCGAAUACUUUUAGCUAAACAUGCAUGACGUUCUAAUCGUGCAAACAUCAAAUCAUCUGCAUGUACGCAUAUGUAAAGAUGCACAAGUUUUAGCACUACAGGUGUGAGAUCAAAUUCUAUUUUGCUCAAAUACAAUUAUGGCUCAAUGAGCAGAUUGUAAAAUGUCUCCUUUUUUUCUUUAUCAAAUAUAGAUAAUUUUUUUUUUUUACUGUGUUACCCAUUUCCAUUAAAUAGAAGCAUCACGAAUCAAAGCUAAUCAUAGUUGAAAACUUGAAAUAACAUGCAAGAGUUUGGUAGCAUUUACCAACCAGAUGCGCAGUAUAUCUUCGCAAAAUAUUCUAUUCAUAUAUCAAAUUAUUCGAUUUGGGCACCAUAAAUGAACAGUAAGAUAAAUGUCUGUGGAAACGUGAUUUCCAUGGCUGACAAGGUCUUCCAUUCAACUCCAAAUUAAUCUUGUUACUUCUGGUUUCUUUUUCUUUUGGAUUGGAAGGAGGUGGUCAAGCACAAUCUAUUUGUGUCACUGUGAUCAUUACCUCGCUUUUUUUUUUUUGGAGUUUUUUUUUACUUAAAAUAAGAUUACAAAAAAUUAACACGCGAGAGCAAUCAUAGCUUGACAACAUACGAGCAAAUUUUGAGAUGAAUACCGAUAUAUUUAUUGUUAGAAGAAACCAUUGUGAAACUUAAACUCAUAAUUUCGACGACUAUGAUUAUUAGUAUUAGAUUAAGGUCUCUUCCACCCACUGAAUCAACAGUUAAAUACGGUAGGUAAAUAAUGAGGCAACUUUGAUUUCCUUUCUUAUCUUUAUUGUAACUGGGAAGGAAUGGUACAAAUAUUAUUAAUUAGUAUAAUGGUUUAUCGUAACGAGUGAGACCACGGUGAUUGCAAAAGGAUAUAUAGUUUUCUAAAGAAGCCAAAAUAGUAUAAAAUUAACGGAAGAAAUGUUCAAAGAAUUAUUAUGUGAUUCAAAACAUAUAAAAGGUUAGUACCGCAGUGACUGUACAACAAUCUAUGAGGAGGAGGUUUUUUUUUUUUUUUUGUCGACACAGAGGUAUCCUGUAAUCAUCCAAACUAAUCUCUUGUGGCUGAGCAGAGUCCGUCCCUUAAGAUGCCCGCGUUAAUUCAGUGAGAGUCGAACCGUGAUCGAUGCUGUAAAGACAGACGACACGACCAGGUGAGCUGCACCCGAGGGGCCUAUGAGGAGGAGGUUGGAUAUUAGUUUUUUUAAGCAAUUCCGAAUUGCACCUCUUGAUAGAAUGGCAUCCCCUUGUAAUUGAAUAGUAAGAAAAAUUGAAUAGCAUAGAAUUGUAACGUCUACCCCACAUCAAAUAUUUCGAGUCUAGAUAAUACUACUAGAAACUUGCACCAAUAAAAGGGACAAAAGAAAAAAAUAAUAAAAGAAGUAGUAGUUGGUAUAUGGCAACUCGUAAGACGAAAUCCAGACCAUAUAAAAACUUCUGGGCUACCCAUGUCAUUCUUGAUAAUCCAAGGACGGACAGAAUAAAUUAUUAGCACUAAAAAAAUGGCCACCGAAUGCUUCAUGCUUCCAAGUUUCCAACAUUUUAUAAACAUCUAGCCAGUGACCCGUGCCUGCUUAUGUGAAUAGCUGAAUCCCUGAGGGGAACUUAUAUAUAAUUGCAUCUUGAGAUUGAUAUCUUGGAUGCGUUGUCAACAAUAUUGACCAUUGAAGAAAGAAUUUACACUAAAAAAAAAAAAAAAGUGAUCAAUUUGCUUGAAAAAGAAGAAGAGGAUAAGAAAUUCCAACCUUUACUUUUGCUGUUGGUAAGAAAACAAAUUCAAAAAGAAAGAUGAAGAGUGAAGAAGGGUAACAGCUAACGGAGGAAAAGACAACAAAUUGGUAUGGUACCAAGCAAAGUAAAAAAAAUAAAAUGAAAUUAAAAAAAAACGUCACUUUUUCCAAGACAAAUUAUGGUUGCUUACUAGUUCAAAGCAUUUUUUUUUUUUCCAGUUAGAUUCAUUCUUUACUUUAAACAUAAAUAAAAACCUUUCUUUGCCUUACUGCUCCUUCCCCUUGGAAACUUUCCAUUUGGAUUUCUUUAGCUCUGAUUUCUUUCUAUAUAUUUUUCUUUCCAUAUCAAAGCCAGUUCAACACAGGAAGAACUGAGAAGUUUCUCAUUCUUUCUCUUAACGCGUACAUAAUUUUUUUCUACCCCUCUUCUAGACUCCGGACACCUUCUCCGUUUUCUUGUCAGAUUUAGUUUUUAGGUUCAAUCUUAUUGGUCUCUGAUUUAAGCAUCAGCAAGUUUUGAAUCCCUUUUGUUCUGUUCUUAUAGAUUUGUUGGAUUUUCGUGAAUUGAUUCUUUGUUAGUGAUUUUUGGCUAGAGUGCUGUGAAUCUUGACUUGGGUUCUGGCAAAAUUUGGUCAAAUUCCUCAGGCCUCUUUGGGAGUGCUAUUUCUGAUUGAAAACAAUAAUAAACGAGCUGGUCCAUUUUGGCCUUUUAUGAAAUCUGAAAUCUGAGUUUUGUUAAGGGGUGAACGCUUCAGUCUUGAUUUGGUUUUUUGGUAAAAGCAAGAAAGAUUGUUGCUUUUUCAUCCUUUUGUGGAGUUGGAGGUGAUUUGAGUUUGUGGACUCGAGGAACUUGAGGUUGGUUUAAUGUGUUGAGGUUGUUCCAUGGCUGUGGAAGAUUUGGUUGAGAUCAAAUUCAGGCUUGCUGAUGGUAGUGACAUUGGACCAAGCAAGUUCAGUCCUUCUACAACUGUGUCAUCUCUAAAGGAAAAGAUAAUUGCUUUAUGGCCCAAAGGUUAUAAUUUACUGAAAUCUACACAAAAUUAAGUGCUAAUUUUGCUGUAUUUCAUGUUCCAAAUCUUUUGUUUAUUUAUACUUUGAUGUUUUGUAUUGGGUUCUAUCUAAGCUAUGGAAUUUUGUUUAUCCUUUUGUACAUAUAUCCUUUUGUAGAUAUAUAUCGUAGUUGAUUUUGCUAUCUUCAAAAUCUGGUGUUGUUUUUGUGUACGUCGCUGUCAUGGUUUUCCAUUUUGACAUGUUUGUAAGACGUUUCUCUGAUGAAGGAUUUCAUUAUGUGAUUCUCCCUAUUUUUUGUUCUUUGGCUUGUUUAAUCUUGUUCCUAUUGAGAUUUCUGCCUGUAACUAUCCAUGGUAUGACAUCCAUGUUCGUUUCAUAACCUAGUUAAGCUAAAUUCUCCAAAUCUUUUCAUACAUUAUCUGCAUUUUCGGCUUUCUCGUCUGACUUAAAACUUUACUGAUUUAUCCUCCUAGCUGCAAAUCACUUGGCCUCAGGCACAGGCAGACGCACACAAAAGGAAAUAUAGACAUACAACAAAAAUGAGUGGCAGUGGAGGGGUGGCAGGUUUAGCCAAGCGUCUUAAGUUGAAGAGAGCCACAAAUAAAUGGAAACUCAGGCUAUCUCACCUUUCCUUCAGCCACUGAAAUUACUCUAUCAUCUUCAGUACUGUACUUCCCAAAUCCAUGUUAGACAAGAAGUGAUAUUUAAGUACCUGAAAUUCCUUCACUUAAUAAAACCUGAAAGCAGAUAUUUGAAGUUGUAGACUUCAUCUUCAGUGGUCCUGCUAACCUGCCGCUUAAAAUUCUCUCUCUUAUUUCAACUAAAAUCUGAAGAACAAGGUCUUCCAUAGCAAGAUAUUGCUGUGCUAGAUUCAUAAGGAAACUUUACAAACUUUUUUUUUUUGUGGGAUAGCUUAUCAUGUUAUCGUGAUAUGUGCUAAAAGUGAUCAUAUGGUUUCACAGAAAUUUGUCUAUUUCACACUGUUAUGGACGAUGGAACAUGUCAGCUAAAUGUGAAAUCUGGCAUUUUAGCCAACAUUCAUAACCUUGUCUUCUCUUCAGCCAUAUAAUUAUUGCUUUUGAAGAUGUUAUCCCUGCCGUAUAUGUAAUCUGCAUUAUAUUAUAUGAGGUGUUAUUGUACACUCUUUUGUUUCCUGCUUCUCUCUUAUUCAAGAUUCAUCAAGAAUCAAAGCUCAUAUGGCAGCUUCCAGUUAAAGUUUAAGAAAAAGUCUUGGUUGAAAGGUAUAUGUAGGAUUAUGUCCAUCAAUUAAUACCUUUUGGUUUUCAUUUUACCCGUGUUCUCUUUCAUGUGUAAAAAGCUGAAGAUAAAGUUCAUUCUCCACCAAGGGUGUGUGGAAGGACACUCCUGUUGUCCAUUCGGUAUUUACGUUAGAAGUAAGAGAAGGGCAUUUAAAUUUGGCUCUAUGCUUCUUGCAAAAAUUGUUUCAGGGUGUUGACAUUUUUGUUCUCUGCUUUGUACUGUUAUGUGAAUGAUUAUCCAUCCAAUGACUGUUAAAUUGACUGUAUUGUUAGAUUAUAUUGAAGGUUGGACUGAAUUUAACAAUUUUUAGUUGAAUUUAGUGAGAUUUCGUGCAGAAGGAGAGUAAUAUCAUAAUUCAUGUAAUGAUUUUGUGCCUUUAGUGUAAGGCUUCUGUUUCUGCAGCAGGAAGUCUAAGCAAUGUUCAUUUGAGUUAUAUGAUGAUAUUUUUAGGCUUAAGUCUUAAGAUUUGAUAACUACUAAAUUUUCAGCUGCAAUUUUCAUCCUCAUAGAUGUUUCGUAUUGCAGACAAAGAAAAUGGACCAAAGACCACAAAUGAUUUGAAGCUUAUUAAUGCUGGAAGGAUACUGGAAAACAACAAAACACUUGCAGAAUCUAGACUUCCAGUUGCUGAAGUCCCUGGCAGUGUCAUCACCAUGCAUGUUGUUGUCCGUCCUCCUUUAGCUGAGAAAAACACUGGUAAUUCAAUCGAUUAUGUUGAUAUCUGCUGGCCUCUAUCAAGUUUAUAGGCAUAUAGAUUUUUCUUCCUUUCUCUAUUUUCUUGUUGGAGACUACUGAAAGCCAUAUAAUUUAGCAGAGCAUAAACCAUACAAUAUGCUAAACUGAAACCGUAGACUAUUACCUUGAUGGAAAUGGAUGCAAAGGUUGAGAACCGAUACAUCUUCGGCUUGUGUUUCAAUGACGGGUAAGGCAGUCAAGUUACCUGCGCCUGUCUGGUCCGAUCAUUUAGCCCAGAAUGCACUAGACCAUCAUGUUUUGCCCUUCCCCUUCUUCUCAACUAACAUGCUGGCCUUUUUUUUUUUUUUUGGAGAUCCGUUUUCUCCUUUUGUCUCUUUUCUCAUCUCUUCUAAGCUUUAUGUUCUCUCAGUUUGAAGUUUAUAGCUGCAUUCUUAAACUUUCUUUGUUUUAUUGGGACAUAUCACAUUGUAAUACUUAAAAGUAGUUGCAGUUUGUUGGCCAUUCUUAUACCAGUUGCAAGAUUACUUUUCCAUGUGGACCGUCAUUUGCUCCAAAGUAGAAUCAUUAAAUGCAAAAAAUUUGCUGCAUUUCUGAACGACUUUGAACAAUGUAAUCACAAAACUUAACUCUUAGGGUACCUUUCUGGAAAAUAAAAUUUUGCUCAGAGCUACUGGCACGAUGGACAAACAAUUUCUCUUUCCUUGAGGAAGUGGGGAAUCUGCUGAUCUUGCUUGAUUCCAUUUCUUAAGCAAGAAUUUUCGUAUAUUUAUUGUUUUCAGUUAACAUGGAAGUAGCUAUAAUGCAGUCGCAUUCAUUUGCAUUGCAAGGUAUUUCUUUGAGCAUCCUUUACCUAGAGAGCAAAAAAGAAACGAUGCUUAAUGGAUCUUAGCCAAAUAACUGACAUGAGAUAUACCUCCGCAGAUAAACUGCAGGAUGAUAACCCAAAGAAAGGCGGGUGUGGAUGCACAAUUCUGUAAUCCAUCGGACCGGAUAAGGAUCUUUUCAGUUACAUUUUAGUAGCUCCAUAAGUUUCCACUUCUACAGGUGCCAAGUCAUAUUUGAGAUAUUUGGGGUGUUCCUGCAAGAUUCCAAGACCAGCUUAAGAGUUGUAUGGAGGACUGCAAUUAUGGUUAUGGAUUCUCAUGUCGACCUUGUUACUGCCAAUGUUGGCGUUCCUUGCAUUUACACAAGCAGCACAUUAGACAAGAAAGUUAUCGCUCUAUUGGAGUGGAUACUCGUGAAUCAGGAUAUAUAAUAGUGUUUUGGAGCCCAAAAAAAAAAGUAAGAAAAAAUUGAAAAGGAAACAGAUUAUAGGAGGGAAAAAAAUUAUUGAAUGACUUACUUAGUUUGCUUGCUUUGAUUUGGUUUGGAAUUUUUUUGUUUCAAAAGAUUUUUUAAAAUUGUUAAACAGAUCUUGAAGCAUUUCAGCACUUUAACCUCGCUCGGUCUACAAUUUGUUUUCCUUGAACUCUUUUGUUUGGGAAAAUGGAGCAUAAAUCAACAGAAAAAUACAAAAGACUGGUUUAUCAGCCUUAGCUGUGAUUGACGGAGAUGGAGAUGGUUGGAUUGGACGGCAGGAUGGUAAAAUAGAAGGGAUGAUAAAUAGGAGAUGAUGCUGGGUGCAAGACGUUCCAUUUAUUCACCCAAAAAACCCUCAGCUGUGAUUUGUUUUUCCCCUCCUUCAAAAAUGUAGUGUUUAGCAAGACUUGCUCAUGCUGAUGAAGCUUCUACUUUAGUGGGUUGGGAAUUGGGAUUUGCUGCUCUCAUUAUUAGUCUGUGAAAAUUGUUCAAGAUUCAUAAAGACGAAAGAGAACAAAUAGUUUUUAGCUUUUCCUCUUUGUACCUUUUUGACCGGUUGAUUUUGACGAAAAAGAGCAAGGGAGAAUAAAAUUGGAGGGGGAAGAAAAAGAAAGGAAAGGGGAGGGGGCAUACAAUUGGAGAAGACAAUUUUGGUGUGCAAAGACUUUAAUUUCAUUAAGGGUACUGUAAAAGAGAAAUGUAGUAAUUUACUAUACAUAAGAAAUUACGAUUUGUUUGUAAGUUACAAAGUACAGAAAAAGGUGGAGCGAAGAGAAAUACCUAGCAUUACAGAAAUCUACACCUGUAAUUUAAGCCGGACAAAAUUUGAUUACAAGUGUUUAUGUACACAAAACAACAAUGCUAUUUGGCUUCUCGUUGCCACCUACUGUCUGAACUUAUUCUCCAGGGAAACUCACAAGGAAAGCUUUCUGGUUUUCACAAACAUACAUCUUCAAGGCACUUGAAGCAAUGAUAUACACCUGUUCUUAGGAAGAAAGAUCAGCGUUAAGGGCUGAUGAAGAUCGAUUUGGGUGCAUCAGUCUUCUGGAUGCCCGCAUGUUCUUGAGUGUCAUCUUGAGUUUCUGCCUAUCACCCUCAACCUCAGCAAACUGAAGGCUCAGUUGGGAGUAACGUUCAUGCAUUUCUUUCAAUUCAGACUCCACAGCUGCAUAUCUUCCUUUUACUUCCAACAUUUCUUGAAUCAACUCAUUGAUGUCUCUGAAGCUCUUUAGAACAGCUUCUUCAUCACUGUGUUGCUUUAGGAAGGAACUAUAAUAUAUAGGCAAAGCAAAGCAAUUAGAACAAUAUAAUGGACCUUUCUACAUCACAACAACAAUAAAGGUAGGUUACUACGAAAAGGCAUGAGGACCUUUAAAUGUAACUCAUGGUAUGUGAGCCCCUAGGCUUUGUUAGGUAGUUAAGUUCACAUGAAAAUAUGCUACCAAGACGCAGACACUCACACAGAGGGAGAGUGCUUAGCCAAUGCCUUAACUGAUGUAUACAUAUGUAAAUCUUCUCGGUAGCAAUAUAUUUAUAUGCACAUUGAUUUACAAUGUCAUGACGUGCAUGCUCCUUUAUGAUUCUGAUAAUUCAUCGACUACAGAAGCAAAAUGUCUAUGCAUUUGUGUGUAUUCUCCCUGAAAAACGUAUUGAGGAUUGGUUUAGUCUAAGGCACAUGUUAGAGAAGUGCCCAGAGGAAAUAUUCACCUAUCCUCUAAUGUUGAUUAAUUUUCAGUGACCACCACACGCCUGAGUACAAGUGGAUGAAACAUUACCCCUAUGCCAUCUAGACAAAGAAGUUAAAACUGACCUAUGUUUUUAGUAGGUAGUGACUACAUUCGAAUUAUAAAAUAGAACUUUGCCUCACAAAAUGGUGUUGCUUUACAUCUGAAUGAGAAUGACAAGCUUGGAUUUGAGAAAAGAUGCAUACUAGUAACUACUGCAUUAUGACAAAUAUGGGCCCCAAGAGACAGAAAAGGCUUGCAGUUCAAGUUAUAGACAGUUUAGAUAAUAACUAGAAUGUGCAUUUAUAUACCAACCUUAGCUGAUAUGCACUCUGCAGCUUAGCUUAAUCACAUAGCUAAAAAGAGAGCCUAAAAGCAGCCACCACAACGCACAUUGCCAUAUGAAUGCAUUUUCAGAGGAAAACUAUUUUCUUGUUCCUUUUUCCAUAAUUAAGAAGAACAAACGUGCUAGUUAGAUCAAGCAAGUCUUUCAGAAACCUACCUUUGGAAAUGACUCUUGGAUUGAUGCUUUGCCCUCAAUGCUUCGGCAAGCUCCAUCUCCAAUGCAAGCACCCUUUCCAAUGCAUUACCAGUAUUUGAAAUUUCAUUGUACAAGGGGAAUAUGCUUCUGAGUUCUUCAUUGGCCUUUGCAAAAGAAAGAUAACAGAGCAACAAAUUACUAAUCAAAAGAAUAUUUAACUGUUUUGUGAAAGCAGUCAAUUCACCUUCAGAACAAUAUUCAAGAAAAAGUAGAGAAGAUAAUAACCUUGUCCAAACACAUAAGCUCACUCCGUAAAUUUUGGCAAUCUGAGUCAAUAUGGAGAUCAUUGGUAAAGAGGGAAUUCUCAUUUUUCAUCCUUUCGAGCUGCAAGCAACAAAAAGAAGUCAUGCCAGUUACUAUGAUAAAAAUCCUGACUUGUACUCUUCCAGAAUGAGUACGAGAUUCAUGAAUUGAAAUUAAAAGUCUUGCCUGUUCAUGUAGGUGGUUAAUGCUGGACUGCAAGCUAUCAGUACAAAGAUAAUAGCUGUUUUGCUUUACAUGGCUUUGCUGCAACUCUCUUUCAAGAAGUGCAUGUCUAGGAGUUUCAUGCAUGACUUUAUAUACAGCAUCAUCCUGGAUGACCCAUACAAACUUGCUCAAAGACCAGAAAAUAUAAUGCAUGAACUUGAGGAUGAAAAUAGCUACUUUGGAUCAGUAUAUGUUCUGGUUCUAGAACUACAAUGAUUAAGUGGGGCAAAAUAAUUGUACUACAAUAAGUUAAAAAUGGAUUCACUCUACAACAACAAUAACGGAGGCAUACUUAAAAUUUUGUGACCUAAAGAUCCAUCACCGGAAUAAAAGACCAUGCACAAUUCUAAAUGACAGAGAAAAGUUUCAAUGCACAAAUAUCACUAUCUAAAUUCUUUGCUGUACGCUGCACAUAAAUGGCAUCUACAAGAAAAGGUAUCAAGUUAGUAACUAUCAGUGUGAGCCUGAGAUUGACUAAUUUCACUUAUAACCAACUGAAUAACCAUGACCAUACAUAAUCAGCGAUCAUACCAAACGUGCAAUUCAUUGGAGUACUCAUAAGAGAUAUGCUAGCAGCAGAAUCGGUUUUUGAUCAGGAUUACAAGUAGUUGUCAUCAGUCUAAAAACGCCCAGUUCAAAAUUAUGUAAUUCUGAAAGGCAUUUAAUAAGUCCAUAAAUAAUGCCAAGAGUUAAAAUUUGCAGCAAAAGAUCAUGAACUUGGAAAAUAUUCUCAUAAUAGUACCAAGGUUUAAUCAAUGAACAAUAAUUAGGUCAUGACAUAUCAGAAUAUAGCAGUGGGAAGCAAAACAGAGGCACAAAGGAGGGGGCGGUGGAGCUGUGAGCAUGAAGAAUAUGAUGAUCACACCAACAACCCACAAAUGGUUCAGGAUGAAUCUGAAAUCUCAGAACUGAAUCUCAACAAUAUACAAAAACACCAUUCAAUAUGUCCAAAGGAAGAAAUGAAAAGUAAUUUAGCAAAACCACAGAAAGGGGAAAAUGAGCUGCGUAAUCCUUGUCUGGACUUCUAAAGAUUUUUGUGACAUCAUUAGUCUUCAUUCACAUAGCAUGUAUCAUGAAAAACAUGUGCUCAGCUGCUGAAAAUCAGUUGCUGCCAUGUUUUAUACAUAAAAGUUAUUUUGGAACUCAUCUGCAUUAGAUUUCUGCUUUCAGCAUAUCUUAAGCACAAAAAGGCUGACAUAAGCAGUCCUUCAAACUUUAGAAAACACAUUCUGGUUUUUCUAGCAUUCCAAAACAAAGACAUAACUUCAUAGUCAUAAACAGCUUUUUCAAGCUUACUUUUCUUUAGGCAGCAUGUAACAAAGCUGGAUGAAACGACAACGAGACCAUUGGCAGACAAAUGUCUAUCUUUUUCUACAAAGGAAGUCGGUGCAAAAAUAGUUUGAGGAUAUUUCAGCCAGCGAUUUUGUAUGACAUUUGCCAACAAAAAAUUAUGCAGGACAAUGAUAUCAAGGUGUUCAUGCAGUAUUAAUUGGGCAAGUAUUAUGCCCUUCUACAUGAAAGCAAUUCUAAUAUUACAAGCACUGUAACUAAAUCGAUCAGUCAGAAAUUACCUUGAGGAUUUGUGCAUUUAGAGCCAAAUUCGAAUCUUCAGUUUCACAAACUACAAUUGUGUUUGCAUCUUCUACCUGUUCCCCAUCAAUCAAAUUAUCAGGGUCAACAGCAUUAGGAAAACAAUUUCCAGUUGACUCAUCAAGCAAAAGCUGCACUUUAUCUACUCCUUCAGUUUCUUCCUUACAAGUAACUACAGAAAAUGCGACAUUCUCCGGUUUUCCUUUUGUCAAUGAAAGUUCAGCAGCAACACUUGACUUCUCCUUCUCACAUUCAUGCAUAGACAUCAGAAGUUUUUCCUUUUCUUCUUUGCAACAUUCAAGACUUAGUAGUGCACAUUCCAACUCUGCCUUCAUUCGGUCACAGGCCUUGAGUUUUUCACGGUUGUCAGAAAGUACGGACUGCAAUUCAGCGUCAAGUGCCAAAAGUUUGAGUGCCAGUUCUUCAUUUCUUUUGGAGUGCAAAGCUUCUGACCUUUUCCUGCUUUCAAUCUCAUCCACAGCAUCUUGUAAUUUCAGAAGCAUCUCUUCUCCAUGCCUUUUGGAGAUAGCAAGCUGCUGCUUUAGCUCUUGGUUCUUGGUCUCAUACUGCUCCUUGAUGAAGGCAAUGCGCAGCGAUUCUUGUAUAGCAACAGGUGGUCCUUGAGGUUCUCGUUUUUCAUGAGAAAGAAGCAAUUCAGCUUCAGCCUUAUUUUUGAGCUCCUUCAAACGGAUGGAUAAGUUUUUGAAUUCUUCAGUUUUCAAAAUUUGGUGAGAAAGCUUGUUAGAAAGGUCAGUAUUUGUGGAACGUAAGGUCAUCAGCUUAUCUUCAUACUCUUCCAGCAAACUUAUGCAAGCAAGCUGUUCAUCUAGUUUGUGCUUGAGGACUAUCAUCAUGAUUUCCAACUGUUCCUUGGCCAACGCCAAAGAAACUGUUUCUUCUUCUGCAUCUGGCAGCUUGCUCUUUAAUUGGUCUACAUCAAACACAUGCAGAUCUUCAUGCUCAGACAUUCUAACCUCCAAACCAUCAGCAUCAGCAUUAUCAUUAAUCUCCUUCAGAUGGAUGGAUAAGUUCCUGAAUUCCUCGGUCUUCAGAAUCUGUUGAGACAGCUCAUUUGCAAGCUCACGAUUCUCAUCUUUACAUUGUUCCAGCAAGGUAGCACAAGAGAGCUGCUCAUCUAGUUUGUGUUUCAAGAAUAUAAUUCUGAUUUCCAGUUCUUCCUUGGCUAAUGUCAUACUAACCAUUUCUUCUUCAGCAAUUUCCAGUUUCACUUUCAAUUGUUCCACCUCAUUCAGAUGCUGAUCUUUAUCCUCAGACAUUUUAACCUCUAGACUUGCCAGCUUUGUCUUGUAUUCUUCAAGUUGAACCAUGAUAUCUCUGUUUGCAUCUGACAGAACUCUAUUCUGCACUGCAGAGGCUUCAAAAUCAGAUCUUACUGAUUCAAUAGCUUUCACUAGAUUUGAAUUUUCUUUGGAGCAACGAGAUUCAUUUGCAAGAGAGCAAUUCAACAUUGCAUCCAGAUCAAAAUGCUUUUUCUGAAGCUCCCUAAAACACAGAUCUGAAGAUCUGAGUUGCUGCUCAAGCUCCUGAAUUCUGAUCUUGUACAUGCUGAUUAGAAACACAGCCUUAACAUCUGCACCAAUUAAAUACUCAUGCAUAUCUGACAACUGACUUUCAAGACCAAUCAAACAAGAAGUCUGAGCUUUAAGUUUUUCAUCUCCCUUGGACAAAAGAUGGUAAAGUCUGGAUUUGUCCAACUCUAAGUUUGCAACAAGCCGCCGCAAGUUCACCAGUUCAGCUUUUUGCUGGGAAAACUCUUGCAACUUGUCUUGUUCCUUGUUCAGUUGUGCAGCAAGAUCACCAACUGCAAUCCCUAACUUGUCUUUCAACCCUCUUUCCAUAUCCAACUCGUUCUGCAGACUUUGCAAGUUUUCUUGAAGACAGUUAAACUCAGAUGCCAGCUUGGAAGAUUCCACAGUUUUAUCCUGUAAUGAAAAAAUCAAGUUCUGCUUCUCUUGUAUUAGCUCAGCAAUUCUGGUCUUGUACAGGCUGAUAAGAAACACAGCGUUAACAUCUGCAGCAAUUACAUACUCAUGCAUAUCCAACAACUGCCUUUCAAGACCAAUCAGAUGAGAAGACUGAGCUUUAAGCUUUUCAUCUCCCUCGGACAAAAGAUGGCAAAGUCUGGAUUUGUGCAACUCUACAUUGGCAACAAGCUGCCGUAAGUUUGCCAGUUCAGCUUCUUGCUGGGAAAACUCUUGCAACUUGUCUUGUUCCUUAUUCAGUUGAGCAGCAAGAUCUCCAACUGUAAUCUUUAACUUGUCUUUCAACCCUCUCUCUGUAUCCAACUCGUUUUGCAGACUUUGCAAGUUUUCUUUAAGAUAGUUAACUUCAGAUGCAAGCUUGGCAGAUUCCACAGUUUUAUCCUGUAAUGAGACAAACAAGUUCUGAUUCUCUUGUACUAGCUCAGCAACAGUCGACUCGCUCCUUUCAAACUCUCCAGCUAAAGUAUCCAAGUUUAGUAUCUCUUUAACCAGACACCCAUCUUUGGAUAUUAGAUUUUGAAUAUCAACUUCCAAAGUGGCAAGAUCAGCCAAAAGCUCUUUGUGUUGCUCUACAUAUUUUUCUUCGAUUUGAGAGCUGCGAAGGAGCUUAUUAGAAACAGUUUCAAGUUUAGAUUGAAGGUUUUCAACAGCAGCACUAGAUGCAUCCAACUUAAACGCCGCAUGUUGUAUAUUAUCCUUGAACUUCUGCUUCAUGGCCAGAAACUCUGAUCUGAUAGCUCUCAAAGACACAAUAGCACUUGCUCUCUCAUUUUCUAGAUUGCUAUUCUCUUCCAUUAGUUGAUGAAUCUUGCUACAAGCAUUGUGCUGUAUCUCUUCCAAUUGCAAGAUGAUAUCUCUGCAACUCUUUGUGUUUGAAUCAAGAGAAUGAGUAUCACUUAAUAGAGAAAGCCCAGUAAAAUGUUUGUUAUAAAAAGCCAACAAAGUAGCCACUUUCCCUUGAAAAAAACUGACAGUUUCCUGGAGAUUUUCCUUGAGAGAUUUCAAUUCAGAAAAUUCAAUUUUGAGAGUUCCCAACUCUUCAUUGAGAAGAGACUUUUCAUUCUGAAGCUUAUUAGAUACUAAAGCUUCCUGCUUCAAUAGAAUAGACAGCUCUGUUUUCUCAGCCAAACAAGCCUCAUAUUGGUGCUGAAUACUUUUGCAUUCCAUCUCAAUUGCUUCCCGAUCUGCAACCUUCUUUAAAAGCAGUGAGUUCUCCUCAAUCAUGCUUCCUAACUUGGCUUCUAUAAUCUGAUUCUGCACAGCCAAAUCAUUAAAUCUGGCAGCGCAACUAGUCUUGUACUCAUUCAGGCUGUGAACAUCAUCCAUUGCAGCCUGCAACCUUACAAUCAACAGAUUCUUGGACUCAUUUGAGACCCUUAACUUCUCCAUUAAUUCAUUUAUACCUGUUUUCAGUAUUUUCAUGCCAGAAUUUGCCUCGGACAGUGUUUCCCGUAGAGUUCUUGAGAAUAUAUCCAAGUGCAAAUUUUCAGAAUGCAUUUCCAUGAGUUCUUCUUCGACCUUUUGAUAGAGCUCUUCCUGAAAGCAGAGUGAUCUUUUUAAAUCCUCUAGAAGGACAUCUCCACCCAGUUGUUUCCUCACACCCAUAUUUUGAUUCUGACUGCGCCAGACUUUUAAAGCAUCAGAUUCUUCAAAAUUUUGCACUACAUCCAGGUAUCCUGGGAAAGAAGGUUGAGAAGUUUCUGAAAAAGCUUGCUUCAUGAUAUUCUCGUUAGUCUCAAACAUGGAGAGUACCUGAGAAGAAAGCAGCUCAAGAUCCUUCUGUAGUUUAUCUACUGCAAUAGAGUAGUUCAAGCGGGCUCUUCUAAGUGCUGCAUCUGAGGUAGUAGCUCUUCUCUCAAGCUCCUUAUUAAGAGCAUCCCACUCACGUCUCUCCUCUGCAAACCGUAAUAUCUGCUCAUUCAUAUCUUGGCGCAUCAAUUCCAAGUCAGCUUUAGUUGUUGAAAUAUCAUAUAAGCAAGUAGAAUGCUCACUCCUGAGAGUUUGCAACUCUCCUAUCAUUUGCUUCUGAUUUUCCUCAAGCUCUUGGAUAAGAGCUUCAUAGUAGCACUCCAUUUCUCCCAUCUUUCUUGCAAGACCUUCCUUUUCAACUUUUGCCCCAUCUAACUCUCUAACAAGGUCCACAAUAUGUUUUCUCAUAGCAUCAAUAGCACCAAUGGAUUCAGUUUCUUGAGACACAAGUGGGGGAAUGUUGAAAUUGCGGAGCAUUAUUUCAGGUUCAGAAGCUUCUACUUCAAACCCAACUCCAGAUGCAAAUUGUUCACUCCUGCAUAAAGAUGUUUCUAUGAUCUCCUCCGUAUCAUUCCUCUUUCCUAAUACUGCAUUAAGCAAUGAUAUUGCUUCCCCUGUUCCAUGUUUGAGAUCUUGCAAGGUAUCAAGCAGCGCCUCCAACUCUGAAUGAAGGAAUCUUGAGUCUCUUUCAUGGAAACCAAGAUAUAUCUUGCUUUGAAGUUCUCUUAUCAUGUCCUCCACAACUAAGAUCCCCUUGGUCCAGCGCAAUUGUAUGUCCUGAAGCAGGUGAUAGUGCUCAAUAUGGCCAUGUCCACCAGUUACAAUUUGUGGGCUCAAUUUAAAACUUCUAAGCCUUUCAACGUCAUUUUUAUAGUUGCAACACUCCAACUUCAGAAGAGAGACCUCUCUUGCCAAUUCUUCACAGGACGAUAUCUCAGUGGCAAGUAUGUGGGAGAACUUUUGUGUUUCAAUACCAAUUUCAUCAGCUUGGCUUUGCAAAGCUCUUACUUCCAGCUUAAACUCAAAAAAAGAUGAUUCAGCAAAUUCCAAACUGCCUCUGAGUCUGUUAUUCUCCUCAUAAGCAGUUGCCAAGUCAUUAUCUACCGAGAAGUCUGAACCCCAUCCCUGAACCGAAUCACUGCUUCCAGGAGCUAUCGUGAUGCGACUAUCAGAAGUAUCCAGUUUAUGUGUAUGUGGGCUUUGACAAUGUGUAACACCAUUCAUAUCACCUGAAAUUGUACUCUUAAGACUAUCAAUUUCAUGUGCACUGCCAGGGUCAUGCCUCUCAGCAUAUACGCUUUCUGACGUAUUAGAUGAGCCAUCAAAACCAACAGUUGAGUCUCCAUACUCUUCAUUUCCCAUUUCUUCUUCCACUGAAGAAAGCUCUCUAGCAUCUGAUCUGGGUCUAAACCUUGCACCAUCCUACAUCAAUGCAAUGAAAUGAACAAGGAGGGUAAACUAGCAGAUAAUUUGAAGAGUUUUUCCAUGCAAGUAGCAUAAAAACUUCAAUUUUUAAGAAUUUAACAGGCUGAUUUGGAAUUUAACAAUUUAUACCAUAAUCUUAGAUAUCAAUUAAUACAAAAGCAGUGAAUGAACUUCAAAUCAAACCACGAGUUCUAUGAUGAUGAGCAUGAAGAAGUAAGCAUCUAGGUGUCCAUAGUAUAAGAAUAAAAUAGCUCAGAUGUGCACCAGCUAAAUGGUUGGUAAAAAAAGGUAAACUAUGCCAUGUCAAUUAUGAUACUUGAAGCCCAUAAUGUGAAGGAUAUGACAAAGUGGUCAGCGCAACUCUCAGGCACUCUCAUCAUGGUUUGCAUUUAGUUAUAGUGUAAACCAAACAACUACAUAACAAUUUGUCAACAAUGAAAUUGAGAAAAGAAACAUCAGUAAUUUUUGGGACACCAGUCAUGGGAAUUAUAAAACUCAAUUACCUUAUCCAUCUGUUCAUUAGCAGUCACUUGCAAAUGUGCUCCUUUUCCAGGACUACUUUCAUCGUGCUUAUCACCCGUUUGCAAGCCCCUCUCACUUAGUUCCCUCUGCUGCUCAAACUCUCUGUGGACAAGUAAUUUUUCUGUUUACUUUCCAAAAGUUACACAAAUAUAUUACAAGACAAAUUAGCUUUACCUGAAUCCAGUUUUAGAAGUAAGCAGCUGUACAGUAACCUGGCAUUCAACAUGUAGUAAAAGUAAGUAUCUGGAAAUUAAAUUAAAAAUUUGCUGAUCAUUCUGUAGAAAACAAAAGUGCAGAUUGGUAAAACAUUACCAACUGCCGGAAUACAAUUUAAAUGGCCACAACCAGAUGCAUUCUGGUUUGACGUUUAUCUUUUUCAACAUUUUUGCAAAUGAAAUUAAUAUCUAAUCUUUAGUGAUGAAGUAAUUAAGCAUUACUUGCUAUCACCAGCAAGUGAGACUUCGGCAUCUUUCUAAUUUCCAUAGAAGGAUCCUGAAUCCUAUCACGCAUUUUAAUCUUCAACCAAAAAUUUUCUGCUGAGCAUCAUGAUUUUCCAAAAAUCACUUGGUGACAUAUGUUGAUCUGCGUUAAAUGGAUUCAUAAACAAAAUUUUGCAUGGAGAAGCACGGAACUUUGUCCCUAAAAUAAUUAGGAGCCUAACAUGCAGAUCAGCACAGAGUGCAUUCAAUUGCUGCCUUUCUUUGAACUAGAAUACUGAGUUCCUCAAAUAUGAGAAAUAGUAAUUUCAUAACUACCAUAGAUACAGGUUAGAAGAGAAGGGGAAGAGAAUCAGUUAGCUAAAAUAGCAAAUGUAGCAAUCCAUCCAACAUCAGACUUGCCUGUUUGACCAUCUGACAUUAACAUUCAAUGAAAAGCUAAGUGUAGACACGGAUAUAAAACAAAGAAAUGAACACGAUAUUUCUCCAAAUUGGGAUGUGGACACGGUGAAUAAUUGCAAAUUUGUAUAAUAAAUGUACAAUAAACAAUGUUGUACUGAUAGCUCUAGACAGACAUAAGGUUUUUAAAGAAUUGUUACAUUUCUUUUGUUAAUAAAAUAAGGAUACAAUCUGGGAUAAUACCAAUUUAAUCCUAACAAUCAAAUGUUUGACAAUCAAGGAACAUAUAUAUCCGAACAGAUUUUUCGAGUUCUCUAUCGCCUGUUCUUAUUACUUUAUUCCAUCUUUUGUUUAAUUGCUCGUUACUUCAUUCAUGAUCAUCGCAACUUCCUCCAUAUAUGAUGGGCAUCCUGAGUUUCUUGUCACUGGAAAAAUAGCUGUAUUUCUUGAAAAUUCGAAUAACCUAUAUCUUAAUGUAUUUAAAGCAUCACACUUAUUUUUAUAUACAAAAAAUCAAAAUGGUUUUAUAUCACAUCUUCAAGAUUUGGUUUUCAUUGGUCUUUUGAAUAUUUCCCAUGCCUGUGUUUGAAUAGGACAUGUCACAUUCCUUACAUGUAAUGUUGUUCCAUGAUUGCAUCCGUGAAGAGGCAAUGCAACAACUGAAGGCUUCAAUGCAUCAGCAUAAUCAGCAAGAUUGAUAAUAGCCUCACCAAGGAUGCUAGCACGUGAAGAACCCUGCACCCGGAAAGAUUGACAUAGAUAGUACAUUAAAACAUCAACAACAUUACAACAACAUUAUAUCAAGCAUAGAAUUUAAAGAGACUACCAUGGCCACAACAAGCUUGUAAAGCUUCUCAUCAUAUUGUUUGCUUUUUGCAUCUUGUAGAAGCCUUGUAGUUUCGUAUAUAGGAUCAGCCCACUUGCAUGUUCCAUUUCUGACAUUUGCUUUUGUAGUCUUUGCUGUUGCCUUUCCUGAGUCUGCUGGGAUGAACGAUAUAAAUAACUUAUCCCAUCCGCUCUGUGGAAUCUGAAUAUGAUAAAUAAAAAAAUUCAGGUAUCAUAUUUUUUAAGUUGUUAUAUUUAUGUAGAUUGGUUCGGUAACUCAAGACCUCUGUCAAAGGGCUUUAGAGGAGUUCAUGUUCAAAAAAGGAACUGCAAAAGCAUUUACUUUUUGUAGUCAUCAUAAUCAGCAUUAUUUUAUGGGUAAAGAUGAUGCAUCAGGCAAGCAAGCAAAUUGAAAUGUCCCUCAAACUAGUCCAGUACAACUCGAACCAAGGUAAAAGAAAUUUUGAGAAGUUUCAAGGAUUUUCAGGCUAUCCCAAGAACUGAAGAUAAUAGUUUCAUUGAGGCAAUGAUACUAGGAAAAUCUUGGCAAGAAAAUUAAUGUAGCAUAUUGCAACAAAUGUUUCUUAGUCUGCUGCUACUUUCAUAAUGCAAACCACACUUGUAUUGAAUUAUGACUUGAAAUAUAAACUCAGUGGCUAAUUAAUAUUAAGCAACACACUUUAAAGUAGAAUAGUAGUCAAAAUAAAAUCUUUUUUUUUUAAAAGCCAAGUUUUAGCAUAUUGUAUCUAAGAUUCUAAGCAGUAAAAUACACCAGAUGGGGCAAGUUGCAUCACUUGCAAAGCUGUGCAAUAAGAGAAGAGUUGAAGUCAUACUUCCAUUGCACUAUUGAAAUGUCAAUACAACAAAAUUAUGCUUUUUGUAUGUGCAUGUUUAAGUUCACAUACAUCCCAAAUAACAGUUUCACAAACCACAUCAUAUGCACAGGACAAAAAAUGGUAAUUCAGGCAUUUGUUACUCUAAUCAAGCUGCGCUAUUACACCUUUUUAAAGUAAAACUGCAAUCCUAAAAGUACCCCAUGCUGUGAAGCACAAGUUAUUUAAUGCAAAUUGCCAGUUUUGCCCAUAUCCUAGAUUUAUUUAAUGUAGAACUUCUUGUUGCAUUCUUUGUCUUUUUGCCUAAACCCUAUAGAAGAAAUUACCAAUCAAGACAUGCUUAAAAUCCAAUGUUCUUAUUAUAGUUGUUUGUGGGAUACUUCUUUUGAAUGUCCUAGUCCUUCAACUACACAUGAAAAAGAGAAAUUUGAUAUGCUAGUGGGAAUGAGCACACACCAACUUUGUCAAUAAUGUGAUGUGGAUUACAGAAAUUAAUUGUGUCUACAAAAUCAGUCUAAUACACAAAGAUGAGUUCACUGCACAAUCUGUCAUCUAAAGUCCUAAACAUGCAAUGUGUUGAAUAAAAAGAAAAAAUAUUUGGAAAAAUCACAGCCAAUUUAAAAGCACUGAAUUGAAUUUCUAAAACAGCAGCAGAUAAUAAGCAGCAAAGAGGUACUUCAACUUUAAUUUUUGAAAGAGAGCACCAUACAUGAGUUGCAUGAAAUUGAAGCCGAAAAACCACUUUCACUUUGUUCUUCUCAAGCUUCCACUUAGUGACCCUCGACAUUAUUUUGCCCCACUAAUCUGCCAUCACUUGCACAUUGCCAUGAUCCAGACUUUGCGUUUUGUAGUGUUUUGAUUCCAGAAUGCAAACGCCUACACAAGAUGUGAUACUAAUUAUAUACAACUGGUGAGGAGAGGAGGUUGAUAUUUUUGUAAUGGAACCCCUGCAUCACACAAAAGAUAAACAACAGGUACACAUAGUUCAACCUCAAAUCAAACAAACUGAAACAGUAGAAGUUCAGUGAUACCACAUUGAGACAUGAUAUGAUCCUUAUGGUCAACACAAGAUGACACCAUAACCAUCGCAAUUCACUAAAAUCACAAGAAAAUGAAGUCAAUAAAUUCAAAAGUUUAAGAAAUGAACUACAGAAUCAAAAGUUUUACUUCACCACUAUCUUUUUUAAAAUUUUUUAGCAGGGGAGGGGUGGGAUUUAAGAAGUGGGCAAGGUGAAGGGGGAUUGGAACCCAGGACCUCCUCAACCUACAAGAAAACUACAAGAAAUGAAAACUACAAGAAAUGAAAGUUAAUGGCAAUCACAUUCUCUCCUAAUGGACUGAUUACCAAGAAAUUAAAAAGUUUAUUAUGGAUGGUUCAUCUGACUGAUGAUCUUAAAGUAUCAACAAACAAGUCAAACUGGAGUAGUUAAUAACAGCAGCAAAUUCUCAUUCAGCUAAACAGUAAAUCAAAUAUCCACAUAAAGCUACUUCAAGUAAGAUAACAUGCAAAGAUCUCAUAAACUUCCAAUAGCAUUUCACCUAUAAACAAAUUCAAGAAAAAACAACUUAGCUCCGAACCAGAAAGUUCCUCCGAUCAGAAUCGCGGCAGACAGUCAAAAAACUACCCAAGCCGCUCUGAUCCAAUCACGACCUUCAAUUUUACCAAAAGAACACUGAGUUCAAAACAAUGCAACUGAAAAACCAAAUUUUAUCCGCCCAAAAAUUUUCAAAAAUUCCUCCAGUGAAAGAAGUUUAAGGGGGAGACAGAAAAUAAAAAGCAUGAAGACCUUUUCCAAUGCCCCAAAAGCAAGAAUCAGAAUUAAAAUUCAUAAGAAGCUGUCAAAUAAUAGAGCAGAUUCAGCAACGAAAAAAAAAAUGCUGCCUUUCAGCUUCCAAACAAGAGUCCACAUUAAAAAAAAAAAGAUUUUUUUGAAAAUAAAAAGGUGAAAAUAGUAAUCUCCUUCUUAGUAGUAGUGCUGUUUUUUCUUUCUUUUCUCCGUUUCUUUCCCCCUUUUCUCGGGUCACUCUUUUGUCAAUUUGCUUUCACAAAACGCCAAAACUUCAAAUUAGUAAAUUUUGUCUAUUAAUGCAAUUAAAAAAAAAAACACACGUCACCUACUUCCAGACAGUAACUCAGAUUCUUCUACCUCGUUGUCCGAAGGUAUACAGAACCCAUCAAAAUUUUCAAGCAAAAAAACAAAAACCCAUCAUUUAUUCAGCAACAUUUUUUUUUUUUGCAAAAGAUGAGCAGUAGCUUGAUGGGGUACCUAAAUUUGGAUCUGGGUCUGGCUGCAAGUGGAGAAGGGGAGCUUUAAAAGUGAAGACAAGUAAAAUAAAAAUGGAGAAGACUGGAGAAAGAAGAGCUGAGGAUUGCUUAGAAAAACAGGAAGGAUUACGCUUAGGAUUUACCAGCAUUCAAAUGCAAAUAAUGGGCUUUGUUCAGUAGCUUAUCCCUUUCAUAACUCACAGUUUUUUGUAUGAGUGUUUCGAUAAAUGGACCCUGCGAAGACACUUCAAAAGCCGGCAACUUUUGAAGUGCUCCGCAGCACUUAACUACUAAACCCCCCAAACCCCCCCAAGCGAUGUGGGAACUUAACCCCACAGGGUGCCCUGCUGCUAAGAAGUAAAGACCCCCCAGACUCCCCGAGACAGGUUUUUCCCUUUCAUAACUCACAGUUUUUUGUAUGAGUGUUUCGAUAAAUGGACCCUGCGAAGACACUUCAAAAGCCGGCAACUUUUGAAGUGCUCCGCAGCACUUAACUACUAAACCCCCCAAACCCCCCCAAGCGAUGUGGGAACUUAACCCCACAGGGUUGUUCAGUAGCUUAUGGAAUGCCAGUUUUGUGCGUAUGUGACAGUAGUGUGUGUUUGUGGGUGUGUCAGAGUCUUUGGUGUGUGAGUGUGUGUAUGUGUGAGUGAGAGAGAGAGAAUUGGGGGGAAGGGGUUGAGACAUCAAUUAAAGAAAGAGAUAUCCCGCCAAAGCUUGUAAUUUUCACUAUUUAAUUAAUAUGAAAGCAAUUAAUGAUUAUCUUUUGUUUUGGUUUUUUGGGAUAAUUUGGACACUGGUAAGCUAAGCAUUCCUCACCUCCCAGCACAUAAAUUAUCCUUAAAUUUUGAGUGAUUUUUUGGGGCAUUUUUAGGUAUCAUGUACUCAAAUUAAAUUUAUUGAAGGGUGAAAUAAGCACUUUUAAAUUGUAGCAAUUUUAAAUCAUUUAAAAUAUUAAAAAAACUAUUGAGAUAUAAAUUCAGGGAAUGAUUGCAAACAAUAAUAUUCAUUCAAGAAAUUCAAACAUUCAUUUUGUGUGAGAUUCAAGAUUUAUUAUUUCAAAAUCGAUAUCACCAUAAUAGAAAUAUUAGUGUCUCCACGUAUCUUGAUUAAAUGACAAAAUCAACACCACACAUCAAAAUCUUUUGAUAGCCUAUAAAACUUAAAUUUGUCAUUUUUAGUCAAAAUGUGGCAUGGGAAUGAAUUAAUACCCUGCAUUUGCUAAAUUUGUUUGUGGUUUAUGUGGCCUGAAAAAAUUAUUGAAAAUUGCCACUUCGGAUACCAAGUUGAAAACCAUAUGUACUUUGACUCUAAUGUUUGGAUAGUCAUUAUUUUGUCAAUAAUUAAUUUAUUUGUAAUAUAUCUUUUCAAUCACUUUUUUAUCUCGUAUACGUACAUUGCAUCACCAAAAGUGGUACAGUAAUUAUUUCAAAUUCCUGUUCAAAUUAAUUUAUUUGUAAUAUAUCUUUUCAAUCACUUUUUUAUCUCGCAUACGUAUAUCGCAUCACCAAAAGUGGUACAGUAAUCUCCUGUUCAAAUUCCUGGCUAUUUGUUUCCAUUCUACCUUUUAAUUAUUUGUUCUUUCCAAGUUGGAGAUUUGCUGUGUAUUUACUGAAGAGCCUUUUGGUGUUGACUGUUUGGAACGGUAGGGAACAGGAAUGUGCUGCGUUGUCGAUGGGGUUUGAUGGGGACAUGUUUGGAAGAUUCUCAAAAAGAAUUCCGCCUUGUUUUUGACUUAUUGAUCCAGGACACUUGUUGUCUAGUAUUAUUGUCACCUUAUAAAUUACUCUUAAAAAUUUAACCCUUUUCUUCAACACUCUUAAUUAUGUUUUGAUACUUGUGAAAAACGGGCUUAAUUAAAUAUUUAAAUAUGUCUAAAAAAAUUUUCUAACGAAAGUUGAAUGAAAAAGCACAUCUAACAAUCCAAAGAUAUUUUUAAAAAAGAACUUAUCAUUCAACUCAUUUUAAUUGUUCUUGAAGAUUAUACAUUUAACAGAUCUUCUUAUCAUUGAUAUUGAUUUGAAUCUUUUUGCAGAUGAAGACAGGAAAAAGAUCAAAUGGUAACAAUCCAAAGUCUUUUUUUUUUUUUUAAGAUUAUUUUUCAGUUCAAAUUUAGAACUAGUGCAUUUCGUAUUGUGUAAAAAUGAAAUGUUGCAUUUUGCAUUUAUAGAUAGUCUUCCUUUUGUAUUUCCUAAUAUUUUCCGUCUUCACAAGUUUUGUUCGUCAUCUAACAUCUGUAAGAUUGAAUUUUCAGUUUUUCUCCAAAAGUACAAAAAGGUUAGGUGGUAAUUAGGUACUACAAUUUUUGCUUUUAACACGGACAAUUAGAGAAGUGAAUUUUAGUUACUUGGUGUUUACAACAUCAACACAAACCAUAUGUAUACAUCAAGUUGACUUUGAAAAAAAAAAAAAAUUUUUUUGUCUCUUUGAGUCCAAAUUACUGAAAACCUACAUUCCAUCACACAAUUAACAUAACCAAAUAUACCUAAUUUUAAUCAAAGAUUAUAAUUACAAAUAAAAAAGACUUACCAAACCCAAACAAAAAAAGAUCUCAGUCGAUCUGCUGCAGAGAACCAUACAUUUGUGAGACAAGUUGCCAUCAUUAAUAUAUAUAGAUGCUCAGCUGGCCAGUUUAGCAAAAUAAACUAAAGAAUAGCAUGCUAAUUAAUUAAUGUAGUACCUAGUUCUUUAAAUUUUGCAGCUGUAUCAGAAAUCCACCAAAAUUAUAAUUCUGCAAUGAUGGGGCUCCAUUAUUAUUAGGGGUCCCCUCGUUCCUUCCUCUCUAACCACCAAAAGAAGUGAAGUUUACAGACGAAAGAAAGGAAAAAUUAACUGGAAAAAAAAAAAACAGUGUUAUUCUAAUCUAAAUGCAUCAGUGAAGUUGGUAAUGAAUUUCCAGGAGCAUUUGCAUUCUCUUUUUUUUUUUUUGGUGGGAUUGAUGAUGCAUACAUAAGAUAAUCAACCACACAAGAAUUAAUUACAGACAUGUGGGAUGAAAACUAACACCUUAGAUUAUAGACUGAACUCAGCAUUCAAAACUUUAGUCAAGAACACAUAAUAACUAGUGACUAGUCAAAAUGCUUACCCGGAUUGUACUGCAUUACUCUGAUGGAUGAAUUUAUGCAAGAAGUAGAGAACCAAAUAUUAUACACUUCAUCAGUUUAAGUUUCCCUCUCCUUUCUCUCCGGUGUUUUACCGUUGCCGGAGUUUUAAGUUCCAUUUUCUCCCCCUUCUGUCUCUCUCUCUCUCUAUAUAUAUAUGGCUUUAAGACUAUUCCUGCAGCUUUGUAGUAGUUGAAGUAGAUUGAUUAAUGUGCGGUCAAUCUUAUAUUUCUUGCAAGAUUUAUUGUCCCUUUGUUAUGCCUUCCAAGUAAAUCAUGCUGUUACCGUAAUCUGGAUUACUUUUCCAGGCGGUGGACACUUCUUAAGCUAAAUUAAAGAAUUCGAGAUACCUACUCCUAAUCCAUUCGAAAACAGAUUGACAUUAUAGUUUAAAGGGUUCAUAUGAUUCUAUUUACGAGCUCAGUUCAGUUUUCUCAAAAUCCAAACUCCAAAAAGUAUAGUAGACGUACAUAAUUACUGCUCUACAGAAAAUGGUCUCUUUAAACAUUUCUUAACGCAUUCUCAAAUUGAGUUGAGAGCACAAGGAUUCAACAUUAAUUUAUUCGAGUUCUAAAACACUGAAAUCUAUUCAAGAAUAUACAUGACUGGCAAUGAAUCAUUCAUUUUCUCACUUCACAUAUCAGUGGAUAAAUUGUGAUUACUUGGAUAUAGGGCUGUAAUCGAGUCGAGUCGAGCUCGAAUAUCGCGAUACUCGAGCUCGACUCGACAUACAGAUAGGGGUGCUCGAGCUCGAGCUCGAAGCUUGCUCGCAAUACUCGAGCUUGACUCGUAUAGGCUCGAGUCCAUUCGAAUCUUAUCGAGCUCGAGUUAUUAAAUUUCUUUUUUUUGAUAAUUUUUGAGCGAAAAGACAUUAUUACCCUUUUAAAAUUUUUAUAUGACUUGAAACAUUUCGUAAAUUCGACAAUUCUUUUGGGUAUAAGGGUAAUUUUAUAAUAAUAAUAUAUUAAAUAAUUAAAAUUAAAAUAUUAAAUAAUUAAAAUUAAAAUACUCGAUAAGGCUUCGAGUCAAACUCUUGACCGAGCUCCUCGCUAGCAGCUCGGUUCGAUUACAUCCCUACUUGGAUAGUAUAUAUAUAUAGGUACGGGGAAUACAUCAACAAUGCAAGAAGUUUUUCAAGUCUAGAACUUGCUCAAGAUCUACUUGCAAGACAAGCAAUUUCCCUUCCCUGGUUAUACUCAUAUCGUGUGGACUCCAUGCAUGCACAUGGCUGUCUUUGUGUAAGCUGGAGCGGUUACUUGGUCAAAGCUCCAUUAUAAUUUCCACAGCCAGGCAGUGCUUUUGUCACAUGAUAAGGUUUCCCACCACGUGCAAUACUACCGUCUUCAAUCAAAACAAAUUAUUAUCAUCAGUUAAAGUGUCUCCAAGAUUAGGUAAUUUAAUUGCAUGGGGGGAUCAUCAGAAGGAAAAGGAGCUCAAAAAUGGAAGAAAUUGAGGGAGAUUGUGCAAUUAAUGAACUUUUCAUCCAGUUGUACAUGGCUCAUUUUAUUCUAUUCCAAAAGUGAGAUGACUAAAUAUGUUCAUCAAUAUCUAUGAGACAGAGUUUUUGAAUUUUUAAGUAUUUUUUUUUUUCAAGUUUUCUAGGGUAUGGUGGUGGUAGUUGUUCGAGUGAUUUUCACUCUUGAAAUUGAUUCUGGCAUUACUUAGAAUAGUUCAUUUGGUUUUUGUAUCUGCCCUAUUUCUCCAGUGGCAUUAUUCUUUUGGCAAGUUAACAUACAAAAAGAAAAGAGUGGAUUAAUUCUAGGGAGAUUACAGUUGUGAGUGGGGCUAUGUGGUGGAAUUCCAUAUGAUGAGAUUGUCUGCUACGACAUGAUUUCGUGAAAGCAUCUCAGUCAUUUCUCAAUCUUCUUGUUUCUGGUUAAAUAGGAGCACCAUUUAUUGGUCAAUUCACUAAUAAUUACAGAACUUUUAUGUAGAUAAAACAUGAUCUGCUUUACAUAACCAUGAAAGUAGUUCUCUGUCAAUGCAAAAAUCCAUCUCGAUCUCCUUGAUUAUUUCCAGUAAUUUUUUUGAAGACUUGGAAACACAGAAAUCUGAGUGCAGAGUCAGCAACAGCAGGUCCAGCCCAGUGAUUCAGACAGUAGGCAGCCUGGAUGAAAGCUUUUAAAAAAUUUCAAGAGCCAGGUUUUACACACACACGCAAAAUCCACAGGCCCGAUACUGAACUGAAAAUCAACUCUAUUCUGUUUGCUCGUACAAUUACAGGCCCGCGUCAACUUAUUCUGUGAACCCAUGCAUAUACCAUGCCAAUUCUCUAUGAGCGUAUUAAGUUUAUUUCUCUUUUAUUGGAGAAGCAUGUUCAGACGAAGGGAUUCAAGGCCUUUGCAAUCGUCCGUUUCAAUUGCAAUUUACACCAUACACUAAUUAGUUAGGUUUUGAUUUAGCGAUCAAAGUUAAAUCCCCACGAGUUGGAGAUUUUAAACUCAAAUUUCACUAUGUGUGGAUAUAUGUGAAUUUCAUCUUUUCACUGCUGACCAUUCUCCUUUUUUUUUUUUUGAUAAGUUGAAGGUCUUGAAUCUAGAAUCUAUCACUCAAUCCAACCCUCCCCUCUCAUCUUCUAGUAAUAAGUUUAUUUGUAAUAUCAACGAGUUAGUAUAAUCCUCGCUUCAUAAAUUAGUUUAUUAAUUUUAUGAUUCUAGAAAUUAUACCAACAGUGGAUGCACUAACACGAUCAUUGUCGAUAAACAACAAAACGAAUAGAGAAAACUAACGUGGGUUUGUUUGGAUAGCUGAUUAUUUUUCCAAAUAUAUUUGCUUACAUCAUCAUUACAAUUUUCAAUACACCUUUUUAUAUUCUCAAUUACCUUUUUAUCUCACAUACAUCACAUCAUACAAAAUGUUACAGUAAAAAUAUCUCGAAUAACUUACAAUUCAAACAAACCUGUAAUAAUCAAAACAAAUUUCAUCCCAAUAAUGUCUUACGAUUGGUUACAUAAAUCCAAUGUCAAAUGAUAUCCCAAUUGAGUCAUUAACCGAAACUUGCAAUUGCCGAGUAGUUUCUUAAUGUCACGGAUUGUUUGUUUUCGGAUGAAUAUAGCGUACUUGGACAACCCAUCCACCACGAUAAAAAUGUGUCAGGACUACUAUGUACAGUGCUGUGGAGGUUGGGUGCGAUCCGUGUCAUCAAGAGCCCAAGACAUCAGCACGACAAGAGUAGGUGCCUACUCCUAGUCAUUGCAUCGUUGUCGGUGUUACGGUUAAAGCUUUGUCAGGCCAAGAUAUGGACGUCAUCAUUACAUCACAAAGUCGACUAGGCUUUGUUUUGGGAUAAUUUCAGAAACUUCCCUGAGGUUCGUGACAAUUUCACUAAACUGUCUUGAAAUUUUAAAAAUUAUACUUACUUCCCUUAAGUUGAUAUUUUUGUAACAAAGCCUUAAACUUGGUCAAAAUUAUAAAUGAAAAACCUAAAAUGUCCUUAGUUUAUAAAGUUUAAAUUACUGAUCAUUCCAAACUAUUGAAAAAUAAUUCAACACAAAUGUAAAGGAAAAAUGUCAAGUGUUCAAUACAAAUGUAAGAGAAGAGUGUCAAGUUUCUAAUGCUCAUUUAUUGUUUGAUAAGCAACAACAAUAAUUCUAUCACUAUAAUACGAUAUUAUGAUACUUUUUUAUAGAUAUAUAUAUUCUUUUUAUGUUGCUGAAGAGAGCGUCAUCAUAAUUCUUGUAGAAUUUGUGGAUUUUUAAAUUUGGUAGUUCUCUCUUUUUGAGUUAUUGUUACUUUUGAUUAAAAAAAAUUGGUCACAUUCAAAGUUUGUUAAGGAAAAAAUAUAUAUAUAUCACUAGUCCAACAUUUGAUAAUCAUAGAGGUUAAGGUCAAUGUUAAUAGUUCUAUGGUUUUACUGCCAAAUAUAAAAAGGAGAAAUAAGAAGAGAAAAUGAAAAGAUUAAAUAAUUAUAAAAUCUCUCUUUUGUAUAAGCAUGCCCAACAAGAAAUUUUAUUAAAAUGUUAAAACUAGUUUUUUUAUUGUCAUUUUAAAUGGACGAGGGAAGUAAAUAUAAUUUUUAAAACUUCAAGGAAAUUUAGUGAAAUUGUUAUAAAUUUCAGGAGAGGUUUCUAAAAUUAUAUCUUUUGUUUUUGGAGAGAGAGAGAGAGAGAGAGAGUGUGUGUGUGUGUGUGUGUGUGUGUGUGUGUGAAGUUUAUGCAGUCGUUGCAUUGCAUCACUUCAUUUUCUGCAUCAGAGUCUUCUUUAGAACAAUUCUUUAUUUCUAGAAAAUGGAGCACUGAAUGGAAAUAAAAACGAAAAUUUCCUAGUCACUCGCAAUAACUUCUUGGAAUACAGCAUUUGGAAUAUCAAAAAGGCCCUUUUUCACCCUUUUGGGUUUCAAACACAUUAGGCUUUGCUACCUUGGAAUUUGAAUACGAGAAAAAGAAAACAAUAAAGGGCUUAGCCAGCAGUAAACAACGAACGGUAAUUACAUCUUUUUUGUUUUGUUCUUUUUCUAAAUUUUAAGAUGCAGAUCGAGAAGACUUAAUAAGGGCCAAUAUUCACAAAUGCGAAAAGAAAUUUGCAAAAAGAAAAAGGACACUACGGAUAGAGAAGGCAUGCUAGCAUUAACUGCAUGCUAUUGAUCAUUAAUAUCGUCAUACAAAGUAUACUACUAGUAGCAUUUCCUCUGGGAAUCAAAAAAAAAAAAAAUAUUGGCUAGUACGUUAUUUCAAGUCCUAGGAAUCUCCGAAACAGAGACUGCAUGAUCACCAGAGGGGUGGAUUUUCUUGAACAUGGCAAAAAAGCAACUGCCAGAAGUGGGCUUCCCAGUUUGAAGAUUGCCAUGAUGAUGAUCAGCAUGGACCACUUUUCCUGAUCCAGAAGCAGCUGCCAGCUCUUCCAUUUUUUUUGUCAUCUUCAUUUUCUGAAGCUUCUUCAUUACCACGAUCUCUGCAAAACCAAUGCUAGGGGUUGACAUGAUAGCUGGAUUAGAGGGCAAAGAAGAAGGCUAAGAAUUGUGCUAGAAUAGAAGAAUGGGGAGGUUGGAGGUUUGAUUGUGAAAUAUAUACUGAUCAGAGUGUUAUAGGUUUCUUGGCUGUGAUGCAAUAAAAUGAAUGAGGCAUUGGUUUUUCCGAAAUCUGGGAACUAUUUGGACUAAGUGGGAGACACAUUAAAUGCCCACAAGACAAUUGAAAAAACAAUGGCAGAAGCCGUGGGAAACAUAAAUCUCUUAAGUAGGGUCCCCAAAUUGGAGAGGACUUGGAAUUUUUUUUCCCCCUCAACACAUUUCUGGGGUGUAGAUGUCUAACAGGCUAUAAAGAUUUUUAUCUGAUUUUCACGUUUUCGUUUCUUUUGUUAACUAUCAUCGUGGUCAUGGAAUGUCAAUGUGCUUUCAGACAAAUAGUAGGAAAUAGAGAAUUGAUGCUAGUGUGCAUCGUUGCAAAUAUUUUUUUAAAUUUUUCAAAUUUAUAUUUUUAUGGACUAUAAUUUUAUGAUGUUGUGGUAGUACUAACAAUUGUUUCUUAGAUGGUUUUUUUUUUGGAGUAAAUAAUUUGGCUUAGGAGUAUAUUUAUUAAGCAAAAUGAGCAAACGGUAUUUUUAGGAUUUUUAAAAAUUUUGUUACACAAAUAACAAUUUGGCUGAUAUCUUUAAAAUUUUAAGAAUGUUAAGUAAUAUUAAGAGAUACCUCAUGAGAGGUUCUGAUAUUAUCCCUAGUACUUAAUAUCUAUUUUCGAUAUGGUGAUUUCUGCCAUAUUAAAAAUGGUACUUUUCGUAAUGCGGGCAAUGAGCAUAUGCCUAAAUAAGAAUUUUUGUGAGUGGAGUUGAUAAAGAAAGGUUUAAAAACUGACCACUUGAUUAGUGAAGUACUUAAUUAUGACUGGAAAUGAUAAAGAACUGGAUAUUUCGCUUUUCUCUUUUUUUUUUUUUUUAUGGGUGGGCUUAUCCUUAUCCUUCAAUGCAUAGCAUAACGUACUUAAGAAUGAAAAUAAAAAAUGAAAAAGGAAGAAAACCAUCUCUCUUCCAUCCGUUUAGAAAAAAAAGGUUGUAGGGCUUGGGUUGUUUUUGUUGGGAGAGAGGGAGCAAAACAAUGGGGAGACUGCAAAAGAAACUAUUGGGCCUCAUUUGUUGUUCGACACUGUUUGAUUUGCGUGGUCCCAAAAUUUUUUUAAAACUAUAUAAAGGUUUUUUUUCAGUGUAAAGGAAGCAUAAAAAAGUGAAACUCAAUUGGUAGGGGAAUUUUUAAAUCAAUCAUUGUUGCUUUUUCUUCCUCAGUUUCCUUAAACCAAAUAAAAAAUGAAAGGAGGAAAAGAAAAAAAAAAGAGUGACUCGAUGUAUGUUCGAGACCAUAACGUAAGUUGUGGCAAAUUCUUUUUUCUUUUUGAAAGAAGGGAAACUUAUACACUUUAGGCCUGUUUGAAAUUGCAGUAACUUAUAAAGAAACAAUUCUGAUACAAGUAUUUUUUUUUUAAAAAAGUGAUUUUAAAUUACCAAAAACUGGACUCUUUAAAUUACGAGAAAUUAGUCAUCAAACACAUUAGGAGUACUUUUAGCAGUUAAAAACCUUUUUUGUUUUGAAAAAAAAACGCACCUCAACCCUAAAUGGCCUUAGAGGUCUUGAAGAUUGGCAAAAAGAUGAAGUGAAAAAAAUGUUAAAAUGGAUGCAAAAUGACAUGGAAUAGACCUUUAGGGGAAAACGUCACUCGAGAUGGAGCAGAAUGCCAUAUGUAACCCUCAAAGUUACAAGCUAGACAUUUCUGCUGAAAUUGAUAAAGUUUAAAAAAAAAAAAAAAAAACCGGCAUGAACAAGCAGCUGAAGACGACCAACAAGAUCAAAUGGAGUUACAAUAGCUAAGGUUCUAGCCUAAAGAAUUGGAAUAGUGUCAUCGCUGUUCUAUUUCUGCAAUAUAUUACUGUUUUAUUGGUUUUUGGUUCUUCUGUUGUUGCUUGUGAGGUUUUUAAAAGAGUUUCCCUUUCUCUUGACUGAUUUUUUGUUUCGUUAGUUUUUUUCCCGACUUGUUUUUCUUUCACUUUCCUUCCAUUUUUGCUGAAUUGAUUACUUUUCUUUUUCAUAAACGCUGUCCUAUGCAAGAAACAGCGUUCAAGUCUUUCUUGGGUUUUUUAGUUUUACGAAAAUUAAGAUAGACAACAAAAAAAGUUUACAAGCAAAUUAAAGGAUGACUUAUUUUGCUAUCCUGUCAUUUUUCUUCUCAUUCAAAUGAGUCUAUUCUUUUACUUUCCUUAAUCAACAGAACGUAGAUGUGCAAAAAUAAAACAUUUCAAGGGCUGUACUCAAAGAAACCAAAAAAUAAUAACAAAAUCGAAAAAAAGUACAAAUUUAGUUGGGGUAAAUUUGAUAAUGGUUGAUAUGAUACUAAAAUGUGCUUUUCCUGCUCUUUUGCUAGAUGCAUUUUUUUGAGUUGCGGAAAUAUAAAGACAUGCAAUAGAAGUAAAGCUGGGAUGGAAGGUGUACUUCUUAGUUUGCUUUCUACAUGGAGGCAGAUUUAUCAAGCCAAUUUAAUUGAUCGAUCACCCCAAGUGAACUUAAUUUAAUUGCAACUUAACCAGAUAUAUUAAUUGAUUAUUAAACAAAUCAGGUCGGUAAACUUCAACAUCGUAACUAUACAUCUUUUGGGACAAGCAUAUAAUGAAACACUAUCAAACAUCACACAGAUCAUACAGAUACUAACCUAAGACACUCUCAAAACUCUUACCAAAAACCUAUUUGAAUUGCAAGCAGGAAAAUAAUGGCUACAAGUUGAUGGACUCGGAACCAGAACUUUCUUUCACAUGGCAAUGUAUACGGCCACGAGAACUUAUUUGCUAAGCUAGUUAGGAGAUCGUGAUAAGGGCAGACUCGUUGGAUGGAUCUUCUUGAACAUCCUCAAGGAGAAGCAACCACCAGAAAUGGUCUUUUCUGCAGUAUGAUUAUGCUCAGCUACUUCCUGAAUACGUACGCCCUGCAUUCUUUUGAUCUUCUCUUUAUGCAGCCGUUUCAUAGCAUAUACCUCUGCCAUGCCACCAGUAGCUAUGGACAUGGUGAUGAUUUCUGAACAACUUUUGUUGACGAAGCAAGAAUCAAUAAGAGAGAAAGAAUUUGAUAUCUGUUGUGGGGAGUUGUGAGGGUUGCAACUGCUUUAUGGCUCUAUUUAUAGUCAAGAAACCGCGGUACUUUUUUGUUACGAACGGGGCCUUAGGCGACACUGACG